GACGAACGCUGGCGGCGUGCUUAACACAUGCAAGUCGAACGGAAAGGCCCUGCUUUUGUGGGGUGCUCGAGUGGCGAACGGGUGAGUAACACGUGAGUAACCUGCCCUUGACUUUGGGAUAACUUCAGGAAACUGGGGCUAAUACCGGAUAGGAGCUCCUGCUGCAUGGUGGGGGUUGGAAAGUUUCGGCGGUUGGGGAUGGACUCGCGGCUUAUCAGCUUGUUGGUGGGGUAGUGGCUUACCAAGGCUUUGACGGGUAGCCGGCCUGAGAGGGGGACCGGCCAACAUGGGGACAGAGAACGGCCCCGGCCUCCGAGGGGGGGAGGAGGGGGGAAAUAUGGAAAAGGGGGGGGAGGCCUGAGGCGGCAACCCGGGGGGGGGAAUGAGGGCUUUGGGGUUGAAACCCGUUUCCGCCGGGGAAAAGGGGGGAGUGAGGGAAAUGGAUAAAGAAGCACCGGCAAACUACGUG
This 469-nucleotide ribosomal RNA is filed under the name uncultured bacterium. RNAcentral's name for it is "partial 16S ribosomal RNA". It matches the Rfam family "Bacterial small subunit ribosomal RNA", at positions 28 to 507 of the family's 1533-position model. The record is from RNAcentral.